GACGAACGCUGGCGGCGUGCCUAAUACAUGCAAGUCGAACGCAGUGGGGACGGGUGAGUCACACGUGGGUAACCUCCCAUCAGAGGGGAUAACACUUGGAAACAGGUGCUAAACCGAUACUGAUGGAUGGAACCGCGGUGCAUUAGCUAGUUGGGUGGGUAACGGCUCACCAAGGCCACGAUGCAUAGCGGACCUGAGAGGGUGAUAGGCCACACGUGAACUGAGACACGGCCCAGACUCCUACGGGAGGCAGCAGUAGGGAAUGUUCGGCAAUGGGCGAAAGUCUGACCUAGCAACGCCGAGUGGGUUAAGAAGGGUUUCGGAUCGUGAAUCUCUGUUGUUAGAAAGGCGGUACCUAACCAGUAAGCCCCGGCUAACUACGUGCCAGCAGCCGCGGUAAUAC
This 403-nucleotide ribosomal RNA is filed under the name uncultured bacterium. Its description in RNAcentral is "partial 16S ribosomal RNA". It matches the Rfam family "Bacterial small subunit ribosomal RNA", at positions 28 to 526 of the family's 1533-position model. The record is from RNAcentral.